This 114-nucleotide ribosomal RNA is filed under the name Petromyzon marinus (sea lamprey). Lineage: Eukaryota; Metazoa; Chordata; Hyperoartia; Petromyzontiformes; Petromyzontidae. The record is from RNAcentral.
GCCUGCACAAAAUCACUGGAAUGCGCCCAAUCUCAUCAGAUCUUGGAAGCUAAGCAAGGAUGAGCCUGAUUGUGCUUGGAUGGGUGAUCAUCUCUGUGCAUGAAAAGACAGGGU